This 253-nucleotide ribosomal RNA is filed under the name uncultured bacterium. RNAcentral describes it as "partial 16S ribosomal RNA". It matches the Rfam family "Bacterial small subunit ribosomal RNA", at positions 524 to 776 of the family's 1533-position model. The record is from RNAcentral.
UACAGAGGUGGCAAGCGUUGUUCGGAAUUACUGGGCGUAAAGGGCGCGUAGGCGGCCAUCUAAGUCAGACGUGAAAUCCCUCGGCUUAACCGGGGAACUGCGUCUGAUACUGGAUGGCUUGAGGUUGGGAGAGGGAUGCGGAAUUCCAGGUGUAGCGGUGAAAUUCGUAGAUAUUGGGUGGAACACCGGUGGCGAAAGCGGCUCUCUGGUCCGGACCUGACGCUGAGGCGCGAAAGCGUGGGGAGCAAACAGG